RNAcentral lists this ribosomal RNA (814 nucleotides) under uncultured bacterium. Its description in RNAcentral is "bacterial SSU rRNA". It matches the Rfam family "Bacterial small subunit ribosomal RNA", at positions 55 to 841 of the family's 1533-position model. The record is from RNAcentral.
AUGCAGUUCGGACGAGAAAGUUCCCUUCGGGGAGCGAGUAAAGUGGCGCACGGGCUGANUAACACGUAGGAUAAUCUACCUUCGGGUGGGGAAUAACCAGGGAAACUUGGGCUAACACCGCAUAAUGCAGCGGCACCACAUGGUGACAGUUGUUAAAGCGGGGGAUUUUAGGACCUCGCGCCUGAAGAGGAGCCUGCGGCAGAUUAGCUAGUUGGUAAGGUAACGGCUUACCAAGGCGACGAUCUGUAGCCGGCCUGAGAGGGCGGUCGGCCACACUGACACUGACAUACGGGUCAGACUCCUACGGGAGGCAGCAGUCGGGAAUUUUGGGCAAUGGGCGAAAGCCUGACCCAGCAACGCCGCGUGAAGGAUGAAAUCCCUCGGGAUGUAAACUUCGCAAGAAUGGGAAGAAUAAGUAGGGGACAAUACCCCCUAUGAUGACGGUACCAUUUGUAAGCUCCGGCUAACUCCGUGCCAGCAGCCGCGGUAAUACGGGGGGAGCAAGCGUUGUUCGGAUUUACUGGGCGUAAAGGGCGCGUAGGCGGCCAGCACAAGUCAGUUGUGAAAUCUCCGGGCUUAACUCGGAAAGGUCAACUGAUACUGUGCGGCUAGAGUGCGGAAGGGGCAACUGGAAUUCUCGGUGUAGCGGUGAAAUGCGUAGAUAUCGAGAGGAACACCUGCGGCGAANGCGGGUUGCUGGGNCCGACACUGACGCUGAGGCGCGAAAGCCANGGGAGCGAACGGGAUUAGAUACCCCCGGUAGUCCUGGCCUUUAACGAUGGAUGCUUGGUGUCUGGGGUUUUUAUAGUCCCCG